GACGAACGCUGGCGGCGUGCUUAACACAUGCAAGUCGAACGGAAAGGCCCUGCUUUUGUGGGGUGCUCGAGUGGCGAACGGGUGAGUAACACGUGAGUAACCUGCCCUUGACAUUGGGAUAACUUCAGGAAACUGGGGCUAAUACCGGAUAGGGGCUCCUGCUGCAUGGUGGGGGUUGGAAAGUUUCGGCGGUUGGGGAUGGACUCGCGGCUUAUCAGCUUGUUGGUGGGGUAGUGGCUUACCAAGGCUUUGACGGGUAGCCGGCCUGAGAGGGUGACCGGCCACAUUGGGACUGAGAUACGGCCCAGACUCCUACGGGAGGCAGCAGUGGGGAAUAUUGCACAAUGGGCGGAAGCCUGAUGCAGCAACGCCGCGUGCGGGAUGACGGCCUUCGGGUUGUAAACCGCUUUCGCCUGUGACGAAGCGUGAGUGACGGUAAUGGGUAAAGAAGCACCGGCUAACUACGUG
RNAcentral lists this ribosomal RNA (468 nucleotides) under uncultured bacterium. Its description in RNAcentral is "partial 16S ribosomal RNA". It matches the Rfam family "Bacterial small subunit ribosomal RNA", at positions 28 to 507 of the family's 1533-position model. The record is from RNAcentral.